Molecule: ribosomal RNA, 374 nt
Filed under: uncultured bacterium
Lineage: Bacteria
Description: bacterial SSU rRNA
Rfam family: Bacterial small subunit ribosomal RNA
Source: RNAcentral
AUACGGAGGGGGCUAGCGUUGUUCGGAAUUACUGGGCGUAAAGGGCGCGUAGGCGGCUCGUCGAGUCGGAUGUGAAAGCCCCGGGCUCAACCCGGGAUGUGCAUUCGAUACUGGCGGGCUCGAGUCCGGGAGAGGAUGGCGGAAUUCCCAGUGUAGAGGUGAAAUUCGUAGAUAUUGGGAAGAACACCGGUGGCGAAGGCGGCCAUCUGGACCGGCACUGACGCUGAGGCGCGAAAGCGUGGGGAGCAAACAGGAUUAGAUACCCUGGUAGUCCACGCCGUAAACGAUGUGCGCUAGACGUCGGGGGUUUGGCCUUCGGUGUCGCAGCUAACGCAUUAAGCGCACCGCCUGGGGAGUACGGCCGCAAGGUUAAA